Molecule: microRNA, 21 nt
Filed under: Gallus gallus (chicken)
Lineage: Eukaryota; Metazoa; Chordata; Aves; Galliformes; Phasianidae
Description: gga-miR-1664-3p
Source: miRBase by way of RNAcentral
UCUGUGACCUCAUUUACCUCC